Oryctolagus cuniculus (rabbit) is the source of this 80-nucleotide microRNA precursor. It matches the Rfam family "mir-26 microRNA precursor family". From Rfam's summary of the family: The hairpin precursors (represented here) are predicted based on base pairing and cross-species conservation -- their extents are not known. In this case the mature sequence is excised from the 5' arm of the hairpin. The record is from Rfam. NCBI's taxonomy places the organism in Eukaryota, Metazoa, Chordata, Mammalia, Lagomorpha, Leporidae.
CUGUGGCUGGAUUCAAGUAAUCCAGGAUAGGCUGUUGCCAUCCGUGAGGCCUAUUCUUGAUUACUUGUUUCUGGAGGCAG